UACAGAGGGUCCCAGCGUUGUUCGGAUUCAUUGGGCGUAAAGGGGUGCGAGUAGGCGGCGGCGGUAAGUUCGGGUGUGAAAUCUCGGGGCUUAACUCCGAAACUGCAUUCGAUACUGCCGUGCUUGAGGACCUGGGAGAGGAGACUGGAAUUUACGGGUGUAGCGGUGAAAUGCGUAGAUAUCGUAAGGAAGACCGUGGCGA
This 202-nucleotide ribosomal RNA is filed under the name uncultured bacterium. RNAcentral describes it as "partial 16S ribosomal RNA". It matches the Rfam family "Bacterial small subunit ribosomal RNA", at positions 524 to 718 of the family's 1533-position model. The record is from RNAcentral.